Long non-coding RNA from Salvelinus fontinalis (brook trout), 2444 nucleotides. RefSeq lists it as uncharacterized. The record is from RefSeq and is a predicted model, not a curated record. The transcript has 2 exons. NCBI's taxonomy places the organism in Eukaryota, Metazoa, Chordata, Actinopteri, Salmoniformes, Salmonidae.
CUAUGAUUGACUCAUUCACCAACGAACCAAUGUGUACUCUGCUGGCCAAGCAACAAGACUACGUUUGGGCGGAAUACCGUAUACCGGGGUAUUUUGAAAUACCAACAUAAUGAUUUUUAAUAUCUAGGAUGUGCCAAGAAAAUGCUCUGCAUUUGGUUUACUAACUUGCUAGCUUGCAAGAUAAAGCUUCUUGGUUACAGCAGAGACAGAUCAAUCCUCUCCUGUAUCAAGAUUCCUACUGUCUAAUAUUUGUUUUGUGCGUGCAGCAAACUGAGUAACCUUUUGAGAAAGUUGUCAAACUUUAUGAGCUGGGUUGUCUGGCCUUGCAAUUUGUUUGUUCGCUUGUGCUUGUUAGCAUUUAGCUAGCAUCUGCUAUGAGAAUUCCUUAGUACUUUCUUAGCAUAAUUGUUCGUUUUUAGAUUGGAACAAAAUGGCACCCCUUGUGUUAUACCAUAUAAAACAUUUGCAUAGCACCCAACCCUUACUAAGACUCAUUGUAAAAUGUGUGGUCCUAUUCGCUUAAUUCACACACCACAACACGUCACUUCCGGCUGCACUAAAAUGAGGCUAGAGUGGGAAACCGAGACCAGAAACCUAGGCAACGCAGUCAAACAUGUCAUACUGCUGCGUCCCUGGAUGUAACUCCUACAAAGGAGGGAGUCAAGUUGAAUGAACUUUUCACUGUUUCCCCAAAGACCCUGCACUACGACGCCAAUGGGUGGUCAAAAAUAAAAUUGAUGUCGGGACACAUUUUGAAGGUAAGAUUGUUCACGUUAACGUUGCUGCUUAGCUAGCUAGCCAGCUAGGCUAACACUGCCACCAGUUAGCUGAGAAUGGCUAACGAUGGCCAACUUAGUAGCUAGCUUUGUAUCUUACCAACAUAGCUAGUUCUGAAGCUUGACAACUACAGUGGAUGAAUAUUUCCCUACACAGAUAACUGAUAACACUAAAGUGUGUUCAAAACACUUUGUGGACUAAUUUUAAAAUACAAUAAUGUGGGAAACUGAUUCCAAGCGAGCAGGUUGUGCAGACUGUGUUAACCUGGACGUCCACUCCAAAGCCUGGUAGGAGGACCAUCAUCAGAACAGCUGCAGGUUCUGGCGAUGAGGUGGAGACAAGCGUACCCUGACCAUCCGUUACGAUCAGAAUCCUCUGCCUGAGGCGGAGCCGCUUGAAGAGGCGCGCAAACGAGGCAAACCAGUUCCUCCUGCAACUCGUCUUGUGUGACAACAACAAAGUAAUGUGUUACACUGGAUUUAGGGUCUACCGUACUCUAAAAGCAGAAACAGAUUAACACACACUUAAACUCGACUUUAGCGCUUAACCUUAAUGGAUCAGUGCUUCCUCUUUCUGUGCUGUGUUAAACUGGGCUUCCUUAAACUGGAGUUAGCUGUUUCAAUGCAUCACAGUCCACGGUCAGCAGGAUAUGUACUGAAAUGCAUGUGCAAAGGCCUAGCUCAGAAACACUAACUAUACUGAACAAAAAUAUAAUCGCAACAUGCAACAAUUUCAUUGAUUUUUACUGAGUUACAGUUCAUAUAAGGAAAUCAGUCAAUUAAGAUAAAAUCAUUAGGCCCGAAUCUAUGAAUUUCCAAUGACAUCUAUGCAGCUGUUGGUCACAUACCAAAAAAAAUGGGCCUCAGGAUCUCGUCACGGUAUUUUUGUGCAUUCAAAUUGCCAUCGAUAAAAUGCAUUUGUGUUCGUUGUCUGUAGUUUAUGCCUUCCCAUGCCAUAACCCUCGCCCACACAACGCCAUACACGUGGUCUGCGGUUGUGAAGCCGGUUGGACAUGCUGGCAAAUUCUCUAAAACGCUUAUGGUAGAGAAAUUUCACAUUCAAUUCUCUGGCAACAGCUCUGGUGGACAUUCCUGCAGUCAGCAUGCCAAUUGCACGCUCCCUCAACUUGACAUCUGUGGCAUUGUGUUGUGACAAAAAUGCACAUUUUAGAGUGGCCUUUUUAUUCUCUACAGCACAAUAUGCACCUGUGUAAAGAUCAUGCUGUUUAGCUUGUUAGCAACCUGUAAACAGGUUCAAAAUCAGACAAGGACAUCACUAGACAGUCAGGGAUUCUUCCUCUUCUGGAGGAGGGAGAUGAUGGCCAAUAAACACUUCCUUAUUAAGGACCUUCUGUCGUAUUAAGGCAUCUUUGUUAAUUUCACCAUUUUAGCCAAGGUGAUAAUCUAGCCCUGGAUCAUGACUCCCGAUCCAUUACAUUACACAUACAUCAUUGGAUGACGGCGUCUUCUGUACAGGGGUGUUUUGUAUAUAUUGUAAUGGUAGGCUCCUUGAGAGUACGUCUUGGGCUAGGGAUAAUCUAGAAAAUGUACAUUUUAUAAAAUGUUUACAUAAAAUAAUGUACUUUGUUUAGUUGUAUAACCUAUUCAUUAACCCAUACAAAAAAAUCAUACAUGUUUGUACUCUAACAAUAAACUAUGAUAAAUUCA